UGAUGCGUCAAGCAACAACUGAUGUAAUGAGUCCGAGCUGGCCUGUGAGGACGCUUUUUGCCCUGA
Molecule: small nucleolar RNA, 66 nt
Filed under: Trypanosoma cruzi
Lineage: Eukaryota; Euglenozoa; Kinetoplastea; Trypanosomatida; Trypanosomatidae
Description: C/D small nucleolar RNA (snoRNA), TB8C1C2
Source: RNAcentral